This 321-nucleotide ribosomal RNA is filed under the name uncultured eukaryote. Its description in RNAcentral is "partial 18S ribosomal RNA". It matches the Rfam family "Eukaryotic small subunit ribosomal RNA", at positions 1470 to 1796 of the family's 1831-position model. The record is from RNAcentral.
CCCUUAGAUGUCCUGGGCCGCACGCGCGCUACACUGACAUGUUCAACAAGCCUCCUAGUUCGACAGGAUUUGGGAAAUCUUUGAACGCAUGUCGUGAUGGGGAUAGAUCAUUGCAAUUAUUGAUCUUGAACGAGGAAUUCCUAGUAAACGCGAGUCAUCAGCUCGCAUUGAUUACGUCCCUGCCCUUUGUACACACCGCCCGUCGCACCUACCGAUUGAAUGUUUCGGUGAAGAUUCCGGAUAGGACUUUUUUGAUUUAUUUCAAUUUUGUCUUAAAAGCUAUCUAAACCUCAACAUUUAGAGGAAGGUGAAGUCGUAACA